GAAUUUGCAACAAUGGGCGAACGCCUGAUGGAGCCACGCCGCGCGUGUGAUGAAGCCUUUCGGGUAGUAAAGUAUUGUUGGAUGGGAAGAACAGCUAGAAUAGGGAAUGAUUCUAGUGUGACGGUAGCAUACCCGAAAGGGGUGGUUCAACAUGUGCCAGCAGCAGCGGUACUUUGUAUGUCCAGAGCGUUAUCCGGAUGUAUUGGGCGUAAAGGGAGCGCAGGCGGUUGAUUAAGUCUGAUGUGAAAGCCCGGAGCUCAACUCCGGAAUGGCAUUGGAAACUGGUUAACUUGAGUGCAGUAGAGGUAAGUGGAACUCCAUGUGUAGCGGUGGAAUGCGUAGAUAUAUGGAAGAACACCAGUGGCGAAGGCGGCUUACUGGACUGUAACUGACGUUGAGGCUCGAAAGUGUGGGUAGCAAACA
RNAcentral lists this ribosomal RNA (423 nucleotides) under uncultured bacterium. Its description in RNAcentral is "partial 16S ribosomal RNA". It matches the Rfam family "Bacterial small subunit ribosomal RNA", at positions 359 to 774 of the family's 1533-position model. The record is from RNAcentral.